GGGGGGCAGAGCCCCCGUGGUUCUGCCCACGUGGGGGCUGCCGUGGGCGCUCGCCCCCGUGCCGCAGCGCUGCCGGCGCGUGCCCCCGCGUGCGGGCGGCUCGUUGCAGCUUCCCUUUAUAGCCCAGCACAGGUAGAAGGGAGCCGAGCUCGCCCCCGCAUCCCCCCCCCCUCCAUCCUCCCCCCCCCAGGAAGGAUGAAAAAUCUCAGAACUGUUCGUUCCCUGCAGAGCUACGGGAUGAGGGGGGGGGGAAACAUGAGCUCAGGCAGGACCCCAGAGGAGCGAGGCAGCACCACGGGACAGCCCCGGGGGUCCCAAAAAGUCCCCAACAGUGUCCCCCCCCCCUCCGAGGGGUGAAGGCCCGGGGGGGGGGGCUGCGUUUUGUCCCCGUGUGCGAAGGGCACAGCCUGGGAGGUGGCUGUGUCAGGACAGUGACGGGGACAGAUGUGUCCUCACCCCCCCCAGCAGCUUUCCCCUCCCUUCCCCUUACCCCAGGGUACCAGAAGGGGAACCUGGGGGGGUCCCAACAAGCCCCCAGACCCCUUGUGUGGGGAGGGGGUGGGCAAGGUUGGACCUGGAGCAGGGCCGAGCCUGGCCACACAGAGAGAGGGGGGCAGGGGUUUGGCACGUGCCUGGGGGGGGUUUCAGGGCUCUGCUGGGCAGGGAAGGAGCCGAGCCCUUGACGAGGUCAGUGUGGGGCAGCCCCCCCUGCCCGAAUUCCCCCCCCCAGGCUGUGUUGUGGUGCUCAGGGCUUGCCGGACAGCUCGCUGACCCGCUGGCGGAGGUGGAAGGCAAACUCGAACAUGGUGGCCGCCAGGCUCUGGUGGAUGAGGUACCGGGGCAGGCGACCCUGCGAGGAAAGGAAAAGGAACAGCACGUCAGGGAGAACAGCAGCAGCACGGGCAAAACAGCCCCCCCGGGGAGGUGAAAUCCCCCCCCCCCCCCACCUCACCCCCAGCUCCUGCUCGGGGCUGCCCGGGUUUUGCUCCCUGCCCCGGUGCCGCAGCGGGGAGCUG
This 1016-nucleotide long non-coding RNA is filed under the name Anas platyrhynchos platyrhynchos (common mallard). RNAcentral describes it as "lncRNA (ENSAPLG00000021947.1)". The record is from RNAcentral. Lineage: Eukaryota; Metazoa; Chordata; Aves; Anseriformes; Anatidae.